GACCAGACUCCAACGGGAGGCAGCAGUGGGGAAUAUUGGGCAAUGGGCGCAAGCCUGACCCAGCAACGCCGCGUGAAGGAAGAAGGCUUUCGGGUUGUAAACUUCUUUUAAGAGGGAAGAGCAGAAGACGGUACCUCUUGAAUAAGCCACGGCUAACUACGUGCCAGCAGCCGCGGUAAUACGUAGGUGGCAAGCGUUGUCCGGAUUUACUGGGUGUAAAGGGCGUGCAGCCGGGAAGACAAGUCAGAUGUGAAAUCCGGGGGCUCAACCCCCGAACUGCAUUUGAAACUGUUGGUCUUGAGCAUCGGAGAGGCAGGCGGAAUUCCUAGUGUAGCGGUGAAAUGCGUAGAUAUUAGGAGGAACACCAGUGGCGAAGGCGGCCUGCUGGACGACAACUGACGGUGAGGCGCGAAAGCGUGGGGAGCAAACAGGAUUAGAUACCCGCGUAA
RNAcentral lists this ribosomal RNA (449 nucleotides) under uncultured bacterium. Its description in RNAcentral is "bacterial SSU rRNA". It matches the Rfam family "Bacterial small subunit ribosomal RNA", at positions 329 to 793 of the family's 1533-position model. The record is from RNAcentral.